UACGAAGGGGGCUAGCGUUGUUCGGAAUCACUGGGCGUAAAGCGCACGUAGGCGGACUGUUAAGUCAGGGGUGAAAUCCUGGGGCUCAACCCCAGAACUGCCUUUGAUACUGGCGGUCUUGAGUGUGGAAGAGGUUGGUGGAACUCCGAGUGUAGAGGUGAAAUUCGUAGAUAUUCGGAAGAACACCAGUGGCGAAGGCGGCCAACUGGUCCACUACUGACGCUGAGGUGCGAAAGCGUGGGGAGCAAACAGG
Molecule: ribosomal RNA, 253 nt
Filed under: uncultured bacterium
Lineage: Bacteria
Description: partial 16S ribosomal RNA
Rfam family: Bacterial small subunit ribosomal RNA
Source: RNAcentral